UCGGGAAUCUUGCACAAUGGGCGAAAGCCUGAUGCAGCAACGCCGUGUGAGCGAGGAAGGUCUUCGGAUCGUAAAGCUCUGUUGUUGGGGACGAAGGGCGAAGGGUUAAUAGCCCCUAGCCUGACGGUACCCUUCGAGGAAGCCCCGGCUAACUACGUGCCAGCAGCCGCGGUAAUACGUAGGGGGCGAGCGUUGUCCGGAAUUAUUGGGCGUAAAGCGUCCGCAGGUGGUGUUUCAAGUCUGCUGUCAAAGACCGAAGCUUAACUUCGGGCAGGCGGUGGAAACUGAAACACUAGAGUACGGUAGGGGUAGAGGGAAUUUCCAGUGUAGCGGUGAAAUGCGUAGAGAUUGGAAAGAACACCAGUGGCGAAGGCGCUCUACUGGACCGUAACUGACACUCAGGGACGAAAGCUAGGGUAGCGAAAGGGAUUAGAUACCCCCGUAGUCC
RNAcentral lists this ribosomal RNA (448 nucleotides) under uncultured prokaryote. RNAcentral describes it as "bacterial SSU rRNA". It matches the Rfam family "Bacterial small subunit ribosomal RNA", at positions 355 to 796 of the family's 1533-position model. The record is from RNAcentral.